RNAcentral lists this ribosomal RNA (482 nucleotides) under uncultured bacterium. RNAcentral describes it as "partial 16S ribosomal RNA". It matches the Rfam family "Bacterial small subunit ribosomal RNA", at positions 30 to 507 of the family's 1533-position model. The record is from RNAcentral.
AUUGAACGCUGGCGGCAUGCUCUACACAUGCAAGUCGAACGGUAACAGGCCGCAAGGUGCUGACGAGUGGCGAACGGGUGAGUAAUGCAUCGGAACGUGCCCAGUCGUGGGGGAUAACUACUCGAAAGAGUAGCUAAUACCGCAUACGAUCUAUGGAUGAAAGCGGGGGACCGUAAGGCCUCGCGCGAUUGGAGCGGCCGAUGUCCGAUUAGGUAGUUGGUGGGGUAAAGGCUCACCAAGCCAACGAUCUGUAGCUGGUCUGAGAGGACGACCAGCCACACUGGGACUGAGACACGGCCCAGACACCUACGGGAGGCAGCAGUGGGGAAUUUUGGACAAUGGGCGCAAGCCUGAUCCAGCAAUGCCGCGUGCAGGAAGAAGGCCUUCGGGUUGUAAACUGCUUUUGUACGGAACGAAACGGCUCUGGUUAAUACCCGGGGCUAAUGACGGUACCGUAAGAAUAAGCACCGGCUAACUACGUG